RNAcentral lists this ribosomal RNA (274 nucleotides) under uncultured bacterium. RNAcentral's name for it is "partial 16S ribosomal RNA". It matches the Rfam family "Bacterial small subunit ribosomal RNA", at positions 81 to 354 of the family's 1533-position model. The record is from RNAcentral.
CACCUGCCGGCGACCGGCGCACGGGUGAGUAACACGUAUGGAACCUGCCCGCCACAGGGGGAUAACCCGGGGAAACCCGGCCUAAUACCCCGUGACGCCACCGGAGGGCAUCCUCCGGUGGCCAAAGGAGCGAUCCGGUGGCGGAUGGGCAUGCGGCGCAUUAGCUAGACGGCGGGGUGACGGCCCACCGUGGCGACGAUGCGUAGGGGUUCUGAGAGGAAGGCCCCCCACACUGGGACUGAGACACGGCCCAGACUCCUACGGAAGGCAGCAG